GACGAACGCUGGCGGCGUGCCUAAUACAUGCAAGUAGAACGCUGAAGCUUGGUGCUUGCCCCGAGCGGAUGAGUUGCGAACGGGUGAGUAACGCGUAGGUAACCUGCCUGGUAGCGGGGGAUAACUAUUGGAAACGAUAGCUAAUACCGCAUAAGAGUAGAUGUUGCAUGACAUUUGCUUAAAAGGUGCAAUUGCAUCACUACCAGAUGGACCUGCGUUGUAUUAGCUAGUUGGUGAGGUAACGGCUCACCAAGGCAACGAUACAUAGCCGACCUGGGAGGGGGAUCGGCCCCACUGGGACUGGGACACGGCCCAGACUCCUACGGGAGGCAGCAGUAGGGGAUCUUCGGCAAUGGACGGAAGUCUGACCGGGCAACGCCGCGUGAGUGAAGAAGGGUUUCGGAUCGUAAAGCUCUGUUGUAAGAGAAGAACGAGUGUGAGAGUGGAAAGUUCACACUGUGACGGUAUCUUACCAGAAAGGGACGGCUAACUACGUG
This 497-nucleotide ribosomal RNA is filed under the name uncultured bacterium. RNAcentral describes it as "partial 16S ribosomal RNA". It matches the Rfam family "Bacterial small subunit ribosomal RNA", at positions 28 to 507 of the family's 1533-position model. The record is from RNAcentral.